Non-coding RNA from Pelobates cultripes (western spadefoot toad), 241 nucleotides. NCBI's taxonomy places the organism in Eukaryota, Metazoa, Chordata, Amphibia, Anura, Pelobatidae. The record is from the annotation of a GenBank genome assembly.
GAUGAUUACACUAGUUCCCAGGGUGAUUGCCCUGUUUCUAUUUUUUUUGUACUCUUAGACACUUUUUAGAACAGAACACUUUGAUAAAUAUCUCCCAUUGUUUCUGUCUAUGCUCACCGUGCUGCUAGAUGCAAGUGCUGAUUUUUUUUAUUUUUUUUAAAUGAUACAAAAGGCCACAGCUUCUAAGAGUGUUUGACUUGGAGCCAAGAUGGAGGAACUCAGAUCCAUGAUAGAGGUAAAU